CCUACGGGAGGCAGCAGUGGGGAAUAUUGCGCAAUGGGCGAAAGCCUGACGCAGCGACGCCGCGUGAGGGAUGAAGGUCUUCGGAUCGUAAACCUCUGUCAGCAGGGAAGAACGGUCACUGUGCUAAUCAGCAGUGAAUUGACGGUACCUGCAAAGGAAGCACCGGCUAACUCCGUGCCAGCAGCCGCGGUAAUACGGAGGGUGCGAGCGUUAAUCGGAAUUACUGGGCGUAAAGCGCUCGUAGGCGGUAUGUCAAGUCAAGGGUGAAAUCCCCGCGCUCAACGUGGGAACUGCCUUUGAAACUGGCAGACUGGAGUGUGUGAGAGGAUAGUGGAAUUCCAGGUGUAGGGGUGAAAUCCGUAGAUAUCUGGAGGAACAUCAGUGGCGAAGGCGACUAUCUGGCACAUAACUGACGCUGAGGAGCGAAAGCGUGGGUAGCAAACAGGAUUAGAUACCCCAUUAGUC
RNAcentral lists this ribosomal RNA (465 nucleotides) under uncultured bacterium. RNAcentral describes it as "partial 16S ribosomal RNA". It matches the Rfam family "Bacterial small subunit ribosomal RNA", at positions 338 to 795 of the family's 1533-position model. The record is from RNAcentral.